AUUGAACGCUGGCGGCAGGCCUAACACAUGCAAGUCGAGCGGAUGAAGGGAGCUUGCUCCUGGAUUCAGCGGCGGACGGGUGAGUAAUUCCUAGGAAUCUGCCUGGUAGUUGGGGAUAACGUCCGGAAACGGGCGCUAAUACCGCAUACGUCCUUAGGGAGAAAGUGGGGGAUCUUCGGACCUCACGCUAUCAGAUGAGCCUAGGUCGGAUUAGCUAGUUGGUGGGGUAAAGGCCUACCAAGGCGACGAUCCGUAACUGGUCUGAGAGGAUGAUCAGUCACACUGGAACUGAGACACGGUCCAGACUCCUACGGGAGGCAGCAGUGGGGAAUAUUGGACAAUGGGCGAAAGCCUGAUCCAGCCAUGCCGCGUGUGUGAAGAAGGUCUUCGGAUUGUAAAGCACUUUAAGUUGGGAGGAAGGGCAGUAAGUUAAUACCUUGCUGUUUUGACGUUACCAACAGAAUAAGCACCGGCUAACUUCGUG
Molecule: ribosomal RNA, 484 nt
Filed under: uncultured bacterium
Lineage: Bacteria
Description: partial 16S ribosomal RNA
Rfam family: Bacterial small subunit ribosomal RNA
Source: RNAcentral